This 836-nucleotide ribosomal RNA is filed under the name uncultured Staphylococcus sp. Its description in RNAcentral is "bacterial SSU rRNA". It matches the Rfam family "Bacterial small subunit ribosomal RNA", at positions 70 to 889 of the family's 1533-position model. Lineage: Bacteria; Bacillati; Bacillota; Bacilli; Caryophanales; Staphylococcaceae. The record is from RNAcentral.
CAGAUAAGGAGCUUGCUCCUUUGACGUUAGCGGCGGACGGGUGAGUAACACGUGGGUAACCUACCUAUAAGACUGGGACAACUUCGGGAAACCGGAGCUAAUACCGGAUAAUAUGUUGAACCGCAUGGUUCAAUAGUGAAAGAUGGUUUUGCUAUCACUUAUAGAUGGACCCGCGCCGUAUUAGCUAGUUGGUGAGGUAACGGCUCACCAAGGCAACGAUACGUAGCCGACCUGAGAGGGUGAUCGGCCACACUGGAACUGAGACACGGUCCAGACUCCUACGGGAGGCAGCAGUAGGGAAUCUUCCGCAAUGGGCGAAAGCCUGACGGGGCAACGCCGCGUGAGUGAUGAAGGUCUUAGGAUCGUAAAACUCUGUUAUUAGGGAAGAACAAACGUGUAAGUAACUGUGCACGUCUUGACGGUACCUAAUCAGAAAGCCACGGCUAACUACGUGCCAGCAGCCGCGGUAAUACGUAGGUGGCAAGCGUUAUCCGGAAUUAUUGGGCGUAAAGCGCGCGUAGGCGGUUUUUUAAGUCUGAUGAGAAAGCCCACGGCUCAACCGUGGAGGGUCAUUGGAAACUGGAAAACUUGAGUGCAGAAGAGGAAAGUGGAAUUCCAUGUGUAGCGGUGAAAUGCGCAGAGAUAUGGAGGAACACCAGUGGCGAAGGCGACUUUCUGGUCUGUAACUGACGCUGAUGUGCGAAAGCGUGGGGAUCAAACAGGAUUAGAUACCCUGGUAGUCCACGCCGUAAACGAUGAGUGCUAAGUGUUAGGGGGUUCCGCCCCUUAGUGCUGCAGCUAACGCAUUAAGCACUCCGCCUGGGGAGUACGACCGC